RNA transcript from Vicia villosa (hairy vetch), 4173 nucleotides. RefSeq lists it as uncharacterized. The record is from RefSeq and is a predicted model, not a curated record. Lineage: Eukaryota; Viridiplantae; Streptophyta; Magnoliopsida; Fabales; Fabaceae. The transcript is spliced from 3 exons.
UAGAAGAAAAGUGGAGAAAGAAAAGAGGAAAAGGGGAAGAACAAGGGAGAAGCUAGGGUUCCAGAAAAAAAUGAAGAGGUAAGGGGAAGAAUCUUUAUUAUUAUGGGUUAGUCUAAUUGGGUCAAUGGGGUAGAAACAUGUUUAGGUUGAAAUCCUUAAUUUUUAUGGUUUUGAAAUUGUUAGGUUUUGAUAAAUAAUCUUUGUUUUGUGAUGAUUAAUUGUGUUGGAAUUGAUAUAUUGGUGAAAUUGGGAGAUUAUUAGAAUGAUAUAUAUUUCGUUUCUUUAUAUUACUUUCAUAUGGGGAUGCUACUUGUUUCUAUGCUAUGCACCCUGUUCACCUACUGUAGCGAGAACAUAAAAAAAAAAGGAGUGAUAUAUAUUUCUUAUACUACGAUAGUGUAACAUGAAAGUGGACUAUAUUAUAUCCUAUUUAUUUACUGUGUAGUAAAAGAUACAAGUGCUUAUAUGCAUAUCAUCAUUCACUGUAGCGCAAAGAGAUAAAUAAGUGAUAUAAGUGGCUUUCACUUACUGUAGUACAAGUAUACUACAUAUUUUCUACAAUUCCCUAUAUCAUAAAAAGAAAGAAAGUAACCCACUUGCAAAUCCUAUGUGAAUUUCGCCCCUUUAUACUAUUCUUGUAGAAAUGCUAUUUAUUUUUUUUCACUAUAAUUCAAAACAGUUCCGUUUGACCAAAAUAGCUUAAUUAAACGGUAUAAUUAGUUGUCCGGAAUUUAAUGAAAAUUUAUGUGGUAGCUAAGUUUAACUAGUAGAUUAACAUGGUGGUGUUAUUUUGUUGAAAAUGUGAUAUUUACGGACCGACCGAAAUAGUAUGAAUUUCAAUAUCUUUUAUAUUAAAUAUUGGCUUUAGAAUAGAAAAUGAAUUAGAAACUUGGAACUAAUGUAGUGUAAUUAUUAAUUGGUUGAUUUAAUUGAUAGUUAAAUUAACUGCAAUGAGUUUAAUUGAUUGGAAUAUACUUGAAGUUGGAUCGAUUAUUCGGUUUGUCGGUAGAUUACGAUAUUUUGAGGAUUCGUCCGUAAUUGUGUUUUGGCUUGAAUAUGUAUGUUGAGAAUAACAUAUGUAUAUGCCAUGAUGUUGUGCGAAUAUUGAUUUCUAUGGUUAGUUGGUUGGCAUUAAAUUAAUGAUUAAUUGCUUGAUGUUGAAAGUGUGUAUUCAUGUAUAAUUGGCAAAAUGAGAAUUAACAUGAGAUAGUAUGGAUACUAGUGUUAAUUGGAUUGUGUGAAUCGUAAUUGAUUAAUUGACCUCUUAUAUGUGAAUAAUGUGUGUGUGUGUGUGUUGUGAAUGUUGUGUACAUUUGGUGGAUAAUUCAUAGAGUUGAAUUAUUGAGAUAUGCGGAAAGUUAAGAUGGUAGAGAUGAUCUUAGUUACAUAUAUUUGUGAUAUUGUACAUACAUUCAUAUCAUAGUGUGCCUUGAAACACAGGUGGAUUUGCUUUGAAACACAAGCGGGCUUGGAUUAUAGAGUGAAUCGGAAGCCGUAAACUAUAUGUUUACAAUUGGUGGACUUUGGUCUUGUCCGGAUCGGAAGUGUGGCUUAGAUUCUAGAGAUAUGAAUCGGAGGCCGGUGAAACUUAGAAUUUCACAUUGGUACCACAUGCAUAGUGUCACAUGUUUCAUUGAGUCACAUUAGAGUUAUGUGAUAGUUGAUUAUGUGCAUUAUGUUGUCGUGAUAUAUGCAUGAUUGUGAUAAUUGAUUAUGUGCAUUAUGCUUUGUGAUACGUGUACGAGUGAACAAUUGAUUAUGUGCAUUGAUGUCGUAAUGCUAUGUGUAUGAGUUUGGUAAUUGAUUAUGUACACUUGGUGUUGUAGUGACAUUUUAUUGGUUGAUAAUUUAGAAUGGGUGAUGUUUGGAUACAUAAUUGGUUAAACGUGGGAUUAUGUGAUAAUUAUGGUUAUGUGCCUAAUUGAGAAUAUAGCAUUGAGGUAUUAUGGAAAUAGAUCCUCUCCUGCUCCUUUCUUAUGCCUUCCCUCUCAUGCUUCAUCUAGUGGCUGAAAAUUGAUAAAAUUUAUUUAGAUAAAAUGAUGUUGUUUUGAAAAGUGUGAAAAAGAUAGAUGAAUGGUUAAGAUUGAUGGCUGAAUGGAAGCAGUAGAUAAUUCACUGCAGAGGAUCCAAAUCCGAGGUUCUGGCAUUUAGUAGCUCUUGCGAGACUUAGCUGGAGUUUCUUUUGUGUUUGUUGGAGAUUAGGUGGUGAGUCGAUGCUCUGGUCAUGUAACACUGGGUAGACUAGACGUGUUGAACUCAUGUUUUAUUUGUUUAUGUAUUAUAUUAUGACUCGUGAAUCUGCUCAUUGUUUACUUGUUGUUCGGAAGGCUUUUAAGCCAAAUAUUAUGAUUAUGGUUUAUUUUAUGUUGAGAUACUUAUUGAGAUAUGAUCAUGGUAUGGGACAUGAAUCAUUUGAAAUACAUGAGUAUUUUUAGUACUUUCCGCUGUGAAUGCAUAUUCUGUAUGAAUUGUAAUUAAAUGUUUAGGUGUUAUUUGGAAUGACCAGGUGUAUUGUAUAUUGUGGAUAAAUGCUGUCGGUUUUUAAAAGCUUUUAGUUUUUGAAAACGUCGAUGUGACGCCCUUUUGAAUUAUAUGCAUGCUUAUUCUCUGAUUAUAUGCUUAAUUAUUUUUGGGGUAUAAAAGGGGUGUUACAUUAGUGGUAUCAGAGCCUGGUCGACCAGUUGGUCAAUAGUCGUUAAUGUUAUCUAAUCCUGUUGUAUUUGAUUUGUGUAUUUGACAAGAUCGAUACUGUUUUGUCUGGUUGUUUGGUUGUUUAGGACGAUGGCUGCGGGAAGGAAUGUUGACAUUAAUAUUGAGGCAAUGAUGAGGUGGACUGGUGCGAUUGGACAAGCGCCGCAAGAGAAUGUCGGUUAUGGAGGAAAGGAUGAGUUUCGUGCUUUUGGAGACUUUCAAAGGUGCAACCCGCCGAUCUUUGAAGGAGGGUAUGGACCAGACAAAGCGCACGCAUGGAUGAGAGAAAUUGAGAAGAUCUUUCAAGUCGUCAGUUGUACUGAUGUACAGAAGGUACAGUUUGGUACUCACAUGAUGACAAAAGAAGCUGACGUUUGGUGGAGUAAUACUGUACCGAGAUUUGAAAUAGAAGGUAUUGAAGUUACUUGGACUCUUUUCCGUGAUGUAUUUUUGGAAAACUAUUUUCCAGGAGAUGUGCGUGGAAAGAAAGAAGUGAGAAAUCUGGAUUUGAAGCAAGGAAGAGAACAAGUCUGUGGGAAACCGUAUGAUGACGUGGGGAAACAAUCGGGUUUUAGCAAGAAGCCAAGUGGGGGAGGAGCUUCUACUUUGAUUAAGUGCUACAGGUGUGGCGAGACGGGACACAAAAUUGUUGAUUGUGGAGUUGGUUCGAGUAGGAUUUGCUACAGUUGUGGUGAGCAAGGACACAAUUGUGCCAUGUACGAUAAGCCGAAGAAGGAUCAAGCGAAAGGAAGAGUGUUUGCGUUGUUUGGUGCUGAGACUACUUCUAAGGAUAAGUUAAUCUGAGGUUCUGGCAUUUAGUAGCUCUUGCGAGACUUAGCUGGAGUUUCUUUUGUGUUUGUUGGAGAUUAGGUAGUGAGUCGAUGCUCUGGUCAUGUAACACUGGGUAGACUAGACGUGUUGAACUCAUGUUUUAUUUGUUUAUGUAUUAUAUUAUGACUCGUGAAUCUGCUCAUUGUUUACUUGUUGUUCGGAAGGCUUUUAAGCCAAAUAUUAUGAUUAUGGUUUAUUUUAUGUUGAGAUACUUAUUGAGAUAUGAUCAUGGUAUGGGACAUGAAUCAUUUUAUGUAAUACAUGAGUAUUUUUAGUACUUUCCGCUGUGAAUGCAUAUUCUGUAUGAAUUGUAAUUAAAUGUUUAGGUGUUAUUUGGAAUGACCAGGUGUAUUGUAUAUUGUGGAUAAAUGCUGUCGGUUUUUAAAAGCUUUUAGUUUUUGAAAACGUCGAUGUGACGCCCUUUUGAAUUAUAUGCAUGCUUAUUCUCUGAUUAUAUGCUUAUUUAUUUUUGGGGUAUAAAAGGGGUGUUACAUCAACCAAUUGUAAUGUCUUCAUCUUUAAUCAUUGUUAUGUUAACAAUUGCCAUGAGUAACUAAACUUUUACUUGUUAGGAUUGAUGUCCCUGGAUUAUGUGAUGUACUGAAUAAUCUUUACCGUUAUUUUCGGAUUAUCUUUAUGAAAUUCAGUUUA